This 6341-nucleotide long non-coding RNA is filed under the name Citrus x clementina. RNAcentral's name for it is "Citrus clementina (C. clementina) long non-coding RNA (CCLE_LNC000568)". Lineage: Eukaryota; Viridiplantae; Streptophyta; Magnoliopsida; Sapindales; Rutaceae. The record is from RNAcentral.
UGCCAUCAACUCGAUCAAGUGCCAGUCCCAAAUAAAGCCUGAACAAAAGUAUAAAUAUUAACAAAGUGGGGUAAAUAUAAUUAUGCGGUUGUAUAUAUUGAUUUUCAUUCACGUGUGGGGCGUUGCAACUCUAUAACUUGCAUGCCCAAAAUAGGACCAUUUAUGGUGAGUGCCUAAACCAAAGUAUCACAUUGCAAAAAUGUUCAAAACACUCCCAUGAACUCAGAAAAUGACGAGGAUACAAAUUGGAAAAAAAAUACAGGGAAAAAAAAAACUCAUGCACACUUUUGACUGAUACUCUAUGUGAAACAGAAAGGCAUGUCUCAGUGUCUAUUAUUAUUAGCAAACUGGUUAAAGAGUCCCAAUGCAUUGCUGGUGACCUGAACAACAUUCGCAACCUGAGCCGUAACCGAAUCCUUCACCUUACCAUUCAUGGACUUGUCAGCAAACCCAUCAAGACAAGUGUUACCAUUGGUCAAAGCAGUACUAGCCCAGGUUUGAACGUUGUUUAUGUGGAACAAAAAGUCCCGACUCUUGACUCGGCCCAAGUUCUUCAUCUCCUGAACCGAUUUGCUGAGCCGGUCCACGGAGUCAUCCAUUAAUUCCAAGCAGUCCGCAAUUGCUCUAUACUCCUUGGGCUUCAAGUUCUUGAAUCUGUUCAAUUGCACUGAUUUCAAGCUACAAUUUGUACUGAUGUAUCACCUAAACAUGUGUUCUCUUUCAACAUUACCAAUUACUUGGUUCUUAAUAUUAAACACCGAACUCUUCAAUAUAACUCCUAAACAUAAACCUAUCAACAAAUAGCUAAAAUAUCCCACCAAAAAAAAAUCAGUAGAAACUACAAUCCAGCAAGUAUUUCAUAAAUAAAAAAUUAAAAAUAUUAAAAGAAGAAAAACUCUAGAACUAAUAAUAUGAAGAAAUAUGGAAACAGAGGGAGAGAUAGAAAGUAAAAAGAUACUAUAUAACUAUAGAGUGAGAAAUAUUUUGAUUUAAAUUUUUAACAAAGAAUUAAACUAUUUAUUUCAUGCAAUUCAAUGGUGGAGGGUAUAACAUUAUGAAAUAUUACUUUGACUUUCAAUAUCAACCAUUAGACUAUGAGAUUUUAGUGGCUUAAAUAUUGUGUCAAAAUUUUAAGUUAAAGUAUCCCAAACCAUAUCUUUAUAAUGGAAAUAUAAAAACAUACAAUGAUUUUUUUUCCACAUUUUGUCCAUUAAAUAUUAUUUGAUGUGAUAUUUUAUUUAUUGUCACUAUUAAUUAUCAUAAUAAAAGUAAUGACUCUUCGUAACAUAAAAAUUUUAUAAUUACUAUCAAAGAAUAACAAUAAACUAAUCUUUCAUGAUUCAUAAACUAAAGUUAAUUAGGAAAAUGUGUUAGAUUUAACUUUUAGGAAAUUAACAAAGUGACAUUUGAAAAUAAAAUGAAAACAAGCUUGUGAAAGUUAAAUUUUAUAAGGUUUAGAUAAUUUCUUACCAUUUCAAUAAAAUAUAAAAAUAUAAAAGAUUUUCUUUUACAUUAUUUCUCACGUAAAUAUUGUUGAAGGCAAUAUUUUAUUUAUUGUCACUAUUAACUAUCAUAACAAAAAUAAUGACUCUUAGUAACAUACAAUUUUAUAAUUAUAAUCGAAUGAUAUCAAUAAAAUAAUCUUUUAUGAUUCAUAAACUAAAACUCAUUAGGAAUAUAUAUUAAAUUUAACUUUUAUGAAAUUAACAAAGUGAUAUUUGAAAAUAAAAUGAAAAUAUAUAGGCUUGUAAAACUUAAAAUUCCUACCAUGUAAGAAUAUUAAUUGAAAGAUAAACAUAAAGUUCAGAGAAUAAGUAUAUUACAUGGGUGUUAAAAAUAAUAUAUAAUUCAUGAUAAAUUAUACAAUGACCCUUAAUAUUAUAUAAAAUAAAGAAUAUUUUACUAUACGAUAUUAACUUUUACUAAAACAUGUGUGAUCAAGUAUUUUUUUUAUGUUACAAGCAAUCUCACCAAUGAGUUCAUUGAUAUAACUAUAACAUUUACUUAAGUACAUGUACUUAGUUGUGUUAUUUAUUAGUUUUAUAUCAUAUAUAAAAUUUUCAAUUACAACUUAUUUAUUUGAUUUGUGUUAAAUAAUCUACUAUUAUAUCUUAUACUUAAUGGUAAAUAAUUUUGGAAGAUUUAUUUUAAAAAAAGUUAUCACAUUUUAAAUUUAACGGAGGAUUGAAAAAUAAUUUUAAAUAAAAUAUACUAUUUAAGUGAAAUUAUUUCAAACUCUAACGGUAGUCAUAAUUAUUUUACAAAAUUCUCUACACGGUUAACAAACUGUUUAUCAUUGUUUUUAAUUUUUUUACUACAAAUUUUGUGUACCAUUGAUUAAAUUCAAUGGUACACAAUUAAAACAUUAUUGAUACUGUAAAAAAAUUACAGCAUCGUAGAGGAACCCUUCAUUUAUAUAUUUUUAAUCUAAACCAAAAGCAUGAUGGGUUUCACAGGUUUCCAAUUCCUUCAAAAUUGUUUUUAUUUAAUAAUGAAACGAAUCACAGCCGUUGGAUUCACUCUAUUUAGUCAAAUGGUGAUUUGGAUAUUAAUCAAUUAAUUAAAUGAAAAACAACCAUUAAUUUUUUUAUUUAAAAAUUAGUUACGGAUGGAGAGAGAAGAAACUUAACAGAAUCAUAAAAAGUAAAAAUUCAUUUGAAAAUAUGAGAAUAUUGUUUUAUUUUAUUUCAUUUCAAUGAAAUAAUCGUCUCCAACCUUUGACGGUGACCUUUCACUGUAAACAUUCACUACAAUCUGUUUGUUACUCAAUAUCAUAUACAUUCUCCAAUUUCUUAGUUUUGAGUGUCACUCUCGCUCUUCACCUUCUCAUUUUUCCCUGUCGCUUUCUUGUUCGUCAUUUUCUCCAGAAAACCAAACACGGUAAUGCCAAAUUGGAUCAAUUCAGCGAUCUUCUUUUUUUCUCGGUGGAGAACUUUUAGUUUUGGAAUUAGCCUCGGAGCAGCCAACAGAAAAGAGACAAGCACGCGUGCUAUUGGAACGAAUUUUGUAACAACGACGAAUGAGAGGCAAGCAAUGACGAGUUGUAUCUGCUUAUUCUGCGCCGCCAGACGCCGAUUUUCGACAGAGGCGGCUUGUCCUGUCUUGCUCUGUUUCGCACAUGCGAGCAUGCCAAGCCUGGCGUUGUUUUUGAGAGAGUGCGAGGCAGAGCCAAUUGAAUCAGCGAACAGCCUACUACAGCGGAGCAUGACGGGAGAGAGAGUUGAAAUCAUACUCUCGUUGCUCAACUCGAGAGAGAAGAACUUUUGAAAUUUUAUUUCAAAUUCUUCCCUCUUUAUGUAUUUUCCUUAAAAUUUCCUCAACUCGAGCCGCAUCAGUCAUGUUGUCAAACCUGACCAAUAUUUAUGGUGAAAAGAGCACAAUUUACAUAUAUUAUCUUAUAUUGAAAUGUAAAUGUAUGCCUCCAUAAGAAACAAUGUCCACUUUUAGAGAUACUUGCAAUAUUCCUUAAAAAGUUGAAACGUAGAUCACAUGAAAACUAACAAAUAAUAAGAAAUGACUAAAAUCAACAUUAAAACUGCUGCCGAUAAAACAGAGAGUGAUAAUAAUAUAAAUUGAUUAGUAUUAUCAAAUCACAAGCUAGAUGUGAAUUGGACAUGAAUUACAUUACAAAGCUACCACGACUCCAAAUCAAAACCUUACAUUUAAACAUCGUUCACUAUCAUUCAGUUAUAAAUAAUGUUGAUUUUAAUGAAAAUGAACAAUCGAAUAAGCGGAUUUAGAUUUAAAAAGUUAAAAUAAAAUAAAAUAAAAUAACCAAAAAUUAAAUAAAGAUGCACGCAAUAAUAGAAAUCACCAAGAGAUUAAGACGAUAGGACAUUCAAUUUCACCAGAACCAAUUCAAUUUAAUCCUCUAUCUAUGCUAUUAAAGUUUAUUACCCACAUUGACAGUGAAUUUCCCUAAUUGUUUCAAUAUUCUCUCUCGAGUAAUAUCAAAAAUAUCUUCACAUAUCAACACAAUAUAUCUUUAUGUGAAUUUAAAUAUGCAAAGAUUUAUUAAACUCCACGAAAAUUUUUAGAAAAAUUGUACAAAUCACGUUAGCACAUCUCUAUCUUUCAUUCAAUUCAUGGCAUCCAUUACACAAGGUAAAAAUACAUAAAUCUCUUCUCGGUCACAUUAUAUAUUCUCAAAUCAUUUAAAUAUUGGUCAGGUAUUUAAAAGCAUUAAGCACAAUAAUGAACAUUCAACCAUGAAAUAAUAAAUUAAAAAUAAUACAGAUUUAUGAAAUUAAAAUUUUAUAAUUAGGCUACAUCGUAGCCCUAGUAAAAUAAAUUAUUUCUUAGGAAUAUAAAAAAAAUCCAUAAACAUUGUAGGAAACAUUUAAGUAAGAAAAUAGAGAAGAGAAAAAGAAAAACUCAUGAAUUAAUCUCACCUCCUGCACUGGAUCUCUUGCGACUGCUGCUUCUUUUAAUUCGGUCCUGUGUUGCUUCCGCUUGGCCGUUCCCUUCUUCUCUUGCGGCUUCUAGCCGUGCCCUUUAUAAUGCUUCAAUUGUGGCCUUUAACACCUUAUAUGGAAAGAAAUAAAAACAAAAGCCAAAUCUCCUCUUUUUAAUUCCAAGUUUGAAUUAUUACAUUUAGUAAUAUUCUCUUCCACAAGUCGUGCACAUGCUUGCCAUUAAUAGCCAAUGCCAAAAUAUUUGCUUUCUCAAUUGAUCACAAUAUCUGCUCUCCACGUGCAUGCCAUAUUUGUCAACCAAAUAUUCAAAGCUUCCCCACGUGAUUACAUGCAUGAUGAUUAAAUUCAAUCUUCCUUGAUUUGUUUCAAUUAAAUAAUCUUUUUAUUGCUUUUCAUUUUUUAUUCCUUCAAGUAGAUUUCUUCUUUAAUCUUCUAAUUUAUUUUUUUUAAUCACAAAUUAUUCAUAAAAUAAAAAAUAUAAAAAUUAAUAUAAUAAAAUAUAAUUUAACAUAAAAUUAAGUUAAAUAAGUAUUAAAAUAAUAUAUAAAUUAUGAGCACAUAAAAAACAUAUACAAUAUUAACGUUUUGUAGUUAUUUUUUAAAUUAUAGAAACUAACAAGAAUAUUUAUCCUAAAAAAGUAGAGCAUCUUAACAAGCGGAUGCCAUCCUACUAUUAGAAGAGAAGCCGCGGUAGUACAUUUAUUAGUGCUUUUUUAAGAUCUACUUUAGUAAACCCUCGAUACGACAACUCGCCGUUCACGGUGUUUCUUUUUUUUACAUUUGUCCCCCAGUCAAUAAGGCAACAACAGUUUACUGCUCUUCUUAAGUAGCAUUGAAGUCAUGGCCAACACUGCAGCUUUCAACGUGGUUUAUUUGGCGAUAAGCUAGAGGCGAGAGAGCGAAGAUUGGCAUUGGCUUGAAUUAAGUUGUCUCUUUGAAGAAAAGCAUCGUUGCUCGCUAUUAUGAGGUAACUCAUGUUGAAAAUUAAAAAAAUGUCAAACAAAUGAAUAAUUAUCUUCACAUUGAACAAUUAUUUCCACGGAUUGGCUAUAGUACUUCCAACAACGUUUUUGUCAAAAUUUGGCCAUAACAAUUAUAUUUUUGUCAAAAUUUGCCCACAAAUCAUAAAUGGCUACCGAGGCUGUAGAAGUUGUUCUGGCAAUCAGUAAAUUUUUUAAUCUUCAAACUUGUACAUAUACUCCCCUAAAAAAUCAAUCCCUUUGACAAUCGUUAAUGGUUCCCAAUGCUAAAAAAGAGAACAGGCAUAUAGUUGGAUCAUUAACAAAGUUUCAAAAUCUACCAAAUUCAAAGCAAUAUGAGAACAUUUCGUGACAUGCCAUCAACUCGAUCAAGUGCCCGUCCCAAAUAAAGCCUAAACAAAGUAUAAAUAUUAACAAAGUGGGGUAAAUAUAAUUAUGCGGUUGUAUAUAUUGAUUUCUUUUACGUAUGGGGCAUUGCAACUUACAUACUAUAACUUACAUGCCCAAAAUAGGACCAUGUGUGGUGAGUGCCUAAACCAAAGUAUCACAUGGCAAUAAUGUUCAAAACAAUCCCAUGAACUGAGAAAAUGACGAGGAUACAAAUUGAAAAAAAAUACAGAAAAAAAACCUCACGCACACUUUGACUGAUACUCCAUAUAAAACGCAAAGGCAUGUCUCAUUGUCUAUUAUUAUUAGCAAACUGGUUAACGAGUCCCAAUGCAUUGCUGGUGACCUGAACAACAUUCGCAACCUGAGCAGUAACCGAAUCCUUCACCUUACCAUUCAUGGACUUGUCCGCAAACUCAUCAAGACAAGUGUUACCAUUGGUCAAAGCAGCACUAGCCCAGGUUUGAACGUUGCUCAUGUGAAACAAAAAGUCCCGACUCUUGACUCGGCCCAAGUUCUUCAUCUCCUGAAACGAUUUGCUGAGCCGGUCCACAGAGUC